UUAUGUCUUAAUACCUGGGUGAUGAUGAUGUGGCCGCUCCGUGUUCCUGAGCGCACGCAGAAGCUGUCUUGGCCCACUAAGAAAAACAUGAACAGACGGGACCACCCAACCGGAAAGAAUCUUCUCUGGAAUUCGUCAGAUGAAACCUCCCGCACAGUAACUCAAAAGGUCCAAAAUCCAGAUUAUCAGCUCUUGAGUACUGACGGAAAGCUCACUGCUUGGGGCGCCUGGGUGGCUCAGUUGGUUGGACGACUGCCUUCAGCUCAGGUCAUGAUCCUGGAGUCCUAGGAUGGAGUCCCGCAUCGGGCUCCCAGCAUCAUGGGGAGUCUGCUUCUCCCUCUGACCUUCUCAUCACUCAUGUUCUCUCUCACUGUCUCUCUCUCAAAUAAAUAAAUAAAAAUCUUUAAAAAAAAAGAAAGAAAGAAAGAAAGCUCACUGCUUUACAACAAAUGAUGAAUAAAUUAAUGAAGUGAGAAUUUUUUGCAUAAAGUUUGUCAGUUUGAGCCCUUUACCAAUUAUACACAUUUCAGCCUACUUAAAGAGAAGAAAUACUAUAAACACUUGACACCGUUAUGAAGCAUUUUAUAUUUUCAGCUUGAAGUUUGAGAGACACUGUGUGACUGAAGUAUGUCAUUCUUCUUAACUGAAUAAUCCCAGAACCUCCAGGUUGAUACUUGGAGAUUCUGCUAUUUGAAAAGUAGAUGGAUUAUGCAGCCCUGUUUUCUGAAAAUUCAUUUUGUCCUUGGAAUUAUUCUCUAUUUGCUGGCACUACUACUUGGCCUCAAAAUAUCAGCAUGUAACUUUUUCUUAAUACUUUGCAAUAUAGCUGAGAAGAGACUAAAUUUGAACUUAUAGCAAUAUAACUUAAAGCUGGAACAUUAUAGGGGCACCUGGGUGACUCAGUGGGCUAAGCCUCUGCCUUUGGUUCAGGUCAUGAUCUCAGGGUCCUGGGAUGGAGCCCUGCAUCNNNNNNNNNNNNNNNNNNNNCCCUGCAUCAGGUUCUCUGCUCAGCAGGGAGCCUGCUCCCCACCCCCCCCCCCCACCCCCGCCUCUCUGCCUACUUGUGAUCUCUGUCAAAUAAAUAAAAUAUUUUUAAAAAACUAACAUUAUAAAUGGUUUAGGGUACUUAUUUAGGUUUAUAAAUUUAUGAUUUAGGGUAUUUAUUUAGAUGUAUGUUUAAAAAUACUUUUCAGGACGCCUGGGUGGCUCAGUGGGUUAAAGCCUCUUGCCUUCCGCUCAUGAUCCUAGGGUCCUGGGAUGGAUUCCCAAGUAAAUAAAUAAAUAAAUCUUUUUAAAAAACAAAAAUACUUUUCUAAUGGAAAAAGGUGAAUGAAUAUUAGAACCCACAAAAUAAGGGUAAUCUUAUGUACAAAGUAUAAUUACUUACUUUCAGCUUUUUCUGCAGAGCUGCUGCUUCCCUGUGGCAGAGGCCAUUUUUAAACCCAUCUUACCAUGGGAUAGCUCCU
Molecule: long non-coding RNA, 1466 nt
Filed under: Mustela putorius furo (domestic ferret)
Lineage: Eukaryota; Metazoa; Chordata; Mammalia; Carnivora; Mustelidae
Description: lncRNA (ENSMPUG00000030257.1)
Source: RNAcentral